RNAcentral lists this unclassified non-coding RNA (247 nucleotides) under Hevea brasiliensis (rubber tree). Lineage: Eukaryota; Viridiplantae; Streptophyta; Magnoliopsida; Malpighiales; Euphorbiaceae. The record is from RNAcentral.
GAGCCCGGUGAUGACAUCAGAUACAAUAGUAGCUUAGAUCGAGAAGCUGGUGCCGCAGCCGCAGGACGCGGUGGCAUUCGGAUUGACGACGCGGAACGAUGCGCCGAUCAGGGCAUCGACGANGACUUCCGAUCCGGCCAGGAACGGCACGGACGAGGGGUCCACCAGCACCACGGCAUUGUCACGUUCGAUCACAAGAUCGUCGUCCGCCUUGGCGCGCUCGACAUCGAAUUUGUACUGGAAUCCG